UGGGGCGUGAGCGCGGUCAUCUGCAGUCGAGCGGACUUGAUGGAGUGCUUGCACUCCUGAUGGUUAGCGGCGGACGGGUGAGUAACACGUAGGCAACCUGCCCUCAAGACUGGGAUAACUACCGGAAACGGUAGCUAAUACCGGAUAAUUUAUUUUGCAGCAUUGUGGAAUAAUGAAAGGCGGAGCAAUCUGUCACUUGAGGAUGGGCCUGCGGCGCAUUAGCUAGUUGGUGGGGUAACGGCCCACCAAGGCGACGAUGCGUAGCCGACCUGAGAGGGUGAACGGCCACACUGGGACUGAGACACGGCCCAGACUCCUACGGGAGGCAGCAGUAGGGAAUCUUCCGCAAUGGGCGAAAGCCUGACGGAGCAACGCCGCGUGAGUGAUGAAGGUUUUCGGAUCGUAAAGCUCUGUUGCCAAGGAAGAACGUCUUCUAGAGUAACUGCUAGGAGAGUGACGGUACUUGAGAAGAAAGCCCCGGCUAACUACGUGCCAGCAGCCGCGGUAAUACGUAGGGGGCAAGCGUUGUCCGGAAUUAUUGGGCGUAAAGCGCGCGCAGGCGGUUCUUUAAGUCUGGUGUUUAAACCCGGGGUUAAUUGGGGUCCCCGGAAAUUGGGAAUGAGGGGCGGAGGGGAGGGGGAUUUCCGGGUUGGGGGGAAAGGGUAGAAAUGGGAGAAACCCCAGGGGAGGGGGGUUUUUUGGGCUUAAUGGACGUGGGCGCGGGAAGGCGUGGGGCGCAACCAGGUUUGGAUACCUUGUUUGUCCACGCUGUAAAGGAAGAUUUAUAGGUGUAAGGGGUUUGGAUACCCUGGGUGCGGAGGUUAACCCAUUAGCCAUUCCCCUUGGGGAGUACGGUGCCAGGAUGGAAAUUCAAGGGAAUGGAGGGGGACCGCCCCAACCAGUGGGGUAGGGGGUUAAUUUGGAGGCAACGGGAGGACCCUUACCAGUUCUGGCCAUCCUUCGGAUUCUUCUGGGGAUGGAGGCGCCUUUGGGGCCGGAGGGGCCAGGGGGGCCAUGGUGGUGUUCAGUUCGGGUCGGGGGAGGUGGGGUUAGUUCCGGCACGGAGGGCACCCCUGGAUUUUGGUGCCCACCACUUAGGGUGGGCACUCUAGAAUGACUGCCGGUGACAAACCGGAGGAAGGCGGGGAUGACGUCAAAUCAUCAUGCCCCUUAUGACUUGGGCUACACACGUACUACAAUGGCUGGUACAACGGGAAGCGAAGCCGCGAGGUGGAGCCAAUCCUAUAAAAGCCAGUCUCAGUUCGGAUUGCAGGCUGCAACUCGCCUGCAUGAAGUCGGAAUUGCUAGUAAUCGCGGAUCAGCAUGCCGCGGUGAAUACGUUCCCGGGUCUUGUACACACCGCCCGUCACACCACGAGAGUUUACAACACCCGAAGUCGGUGGGGUAACCCGCAAGGAGCCGCCGCGAAGUGGUAUGCUUUUU
This 1443-nucleotide ribosomal RNA is filed under the name Paenibacillus sp. BJ-60. Its description in RNAcentral is "partial 16S ribosomal RNA". It matches the Rfam family "Bacterial small subunit ribosomal RNA". Lineage: Bacteria; Bacillati; Bacillota; Bacilli; Caryophanales; Paenibacillaceae. The record is from RNAcentral.